UGGGGAAUAUUGNGAANUNNNNGGGAACCCUGACGCAGCCAUGCCGCGUGAAUGCCAUUNAGGACUUAGGGUUGUAAAGUUCUUUCGGUAUUGAGGAAGGUUGAUGUGUUAAUAGCACAUCAAAUUGACGUUAAAUACAGAAGAAGCACCGGCUAACUCCGUGCCAGCAGCCGCGGUAAUACGGAGGGUGCGAGCGUUAAUCGGAAUAACUGGGCGUAAAGGGCACGCAGGCGGUUAUUUAAGUGAGGUGUGAAAGCCCCGGGCUUAACCUGGGAAUUGCUUUUCAGACUGGGUAACUAGAGUACUUUAGGGAGGGGUAGAAUUCCACGUGUAGCGGUGAAAUGCGUAGAGAUGUGGAGGAAUACCGAAGGCGAAGGCAGCCCCUUGGGAAUGUACUGACGCUCAUGUGCGAAAGCGUGGGGAGCAAACAGGAUUAGAUACCCUGGUAGUCCACGCUGUAAACGCUGUCGAUUUGGGGGUUGGGGUUUAACUCUGGCGCCCGUAGCUAACGUGANAAAUCGAACCGCCUGGGGAGUACGGACGCAAGGUUA
This 551-nucleotide ribosomal RNA is filed under the name uncultured bacterium. Its description in RNAcentral is "bacterial SSU rRNA". It matches the Rfam family "Bacterial small subunit ribosomal RNA", at positions 355 to 896 of the family's 1533-position model. The record is from RNAcentral.